GGGAUAGGUCGGGGAGGGGGCCCGCGGGGCCCCGGGCGGGAGGGCAGGGCCAGCCCCGCGCACAAAGGAGCCCUGGCGGCGGCCCCUCGGAGGACAAUGCAGCCCUGGGGCGCGGGGGGCUGCGCCGCGCUCCAGCUGCCUCUUCACAACGAGGCCUGCAAAUGUGCCCACUUGAUUCUAAAUCCUCUUAGGCGCUCGCGGUGUGAACCGGGAAGGGGGUGGCCCUCCAAGCCUUUGCAAUCCCAGACCUGGAGCCUGGCGCUCGGCGAGCGGUUUGCACCACGCAUGCAAAUCGAGUUGGCGUCUUGGAGACGUGGGCAGAGUCUGUUGGGUUACCAGCAAACGCCCCGAUACGGCCCUUCAGUGCCACGCGGGGUCCCGAAAAAUGUGCAGGGUGUUUCCCCUGGAAAGACUUCCUGUUAAGUGUUCAGAAAAGCCAGCUGAGCUGCGCGUCAUUAGUCACCCAGGUAUUUACACUGUUUUUCCUAUUUCCUUUCUCUCUUGGCCUCUGUGGUCAGUGGUAUAAAAUUCCUAGGAACUCCCACCUAAACACGAGCUUCCUGUUUAUGCCCUCAGUGGCUUUAAUGUCUAGCUGUUGAAAGCAGUUGACCAAAGCUCUAUGAAACGACUAGCGGAGGUUUGCAGGUGAACAGAGAGACGAGGAAAAAAAAGAACAAAACCAAAUGGGUAGGUCAAAGGUUCGGGUUCAUUUUUAAUCACUUAUGUCAGAAUCACAGGGGGAAAAGGUAAAAGUGAAGUGUAAUUUGAUGCCCAAGAUCGUGGUUCAGUUUCAUUUGGUCCCUGUGUCUACAGGAACUUGUAAAAUAUGAUGGAACCUGUAAAAUAUGAUACCUAAACUAGGAACGUUUUCCUUUCUAGCGGGUUAAAGGCUCCCCGCCUCCUCCCCCCGCAAUGUGGCGUGACACUUGUGUUAUGAAAGGUUGAAAUUCUCACAUAAGCUCAGUCUGUGAGCCCCUGUACGUGCCUUGCAGCUCCUAGGGCUGCUUCCUUAAGUGCCUGCAGCAAAAUGUUGCAUGUCUGUAGCUACCUGAACUGCAGCCUCCCCGACCUGAAAAGAACCUGAAAGGGUGCUUACUCAGCUUUUUUCUGAUGUAGAAUUCCCUGUAGGACUCCUGGGAUGUGAAGAACUACUCCCUGAUAGGAUCCCUCUGGAAUUCCUUACAUCAGAAGACAGCAUCUUUCCUUGACAAUCUGAUUUUUUUUAAAAAGAGGUUUUCUAUCCAUAAAACUGGAAUCUGCCUCCACUUAUGGAACCAUGGAGAAUUAAUCAAAUUUCUAUUUCACAUGGUAUUACCCUUCAGAUGUUUGGAGACACUCCCCACACCCUCACCCCCAGUCUUCUCCCAGCUAAACCUGCAGAUUCACCAGUCUGUCCCGUGAGUCUGAUUCCUGCACCAUCCGAGUUAUGCAGAGAUGCUUCAGUUCACCUGAGUUCCUCUGAAACUGAAAAUGGUGUUUCAAUCAUGCAGAAAUUCAGCCUAGGAGGCAGCACUGGAGAAAUAUGGCUUAAAACCAACAGGGAAAAACAGUCCAACCAUGGCCAAGUUAUUCAGACAAAAAUAAAUUCUGGUUUUCCAUUUUAGUCUUUUUCUACGCUGAGGCUAGUCAUGCCCAGCUCAGUUAUGAAGCCCAGGAAAGAAGGAAAAAGCUGUAUGGCAGGCUAGCACUGAGCCUUUCAUAUUCUUGCAUUUUAUCGUCAAAAAACCCUCUGAGUGGGUACUAUUGUUAUUCCUCUUUUACUGGCUCCAAGGUCAAAGAAUCCACGCAAGGUCACACUGCUAGCAGAGGGCAGAGUGAGGUCUCUAACUUGUGAAUUGCACUUCCAUUGCUCGAAGCUGCUGCCCUGGAGUCCAUCCUGAAAACCGAGGUCCUGGAUUGGAUGUGUUUUUCUGCGUGUUCUAUGACAUACAGCUUCAAUUCAAGGCCAGUUCGCAUACAUCCUAUUUAUACAGCUACAAAAACUUUUGAAAUGCAAGUUAAGAACUUUAUGGGAGAAGAGUUCUUUUUGGAAGCAAAUGAAACAGAAAUUCCAAGUGAGAGCCAAAAGUCAUCCCAAACAUGGUUUUAUUCCAAUGGCAUUACUUAACGGUAAAGUGUUAUAUUACCCUUGAAUUUCCUGCCUGGGCUCAGGGUAGGCCAGGCCCUGGAUGCUUUUUUGCAUUUAUCACAGCAAAGCCGUCGCCCCUUACUCACGCUGGCUCUCCAACGUGUCCGUUACUCAAGAAAAAAGGGAAGAAUGUUUCCCAUGCACGCGCUGUAAUUUUUUUUUUUUUUUUUUCGUGUUGCUCAGUCUGCCAGAACAAAAGUAAAACCACAGAAAGGAGAUUUAGAUCAGCCUCUUCAUCUGCCGGCUGUUAUGUUACAGUUUUAGGAGGGGUUGGACAUCAAACACUUGAAACUGUCAUCCAUGCAUUCCUUCUUGGAAUAAAGCAGCAUUGGCGUGGACCCCUGCUACAUUAUUUUCUACCCCCAAAUGUUGGAAACUCUUGCCCUCCAGGAAAAUACAGAAGAAAACCCUGAAUUAAGGGAGUUAGUUCUGAGAAAGUCUCUUGCGGUCUGUAAUAAACUGGCACAUAAUGACAUCUGGCCAGAUGGAUUCUCCACCUUCACAGAGAUGUUGCUUGGAUGUUUAGUUUUUCUAAUUUGUUGGUUCUUAUAAAUAGUGCUUGAGAGAACUUUUUUUUAAGUAUUUAUUUAUUUACCUGGCUGCAUCAGGUCUUAGUCGAGGCAUUCUGGAUCUUUCAUUGUGGCACACAGACUCUCUUGUUGUAGCAUAUAGGCUCCAGAGGGCUCAAUAGUUGCCUCGAGUGGGCUUAGUUGUUCUGCAGCAUGUGGGCUCUUAAUUCCUGGACCAGGAAUCAAACCGGCGUCCCCUGUAUUACAAGGCAGAUCCUUAACCACUGCAACACCAGGGAAAUCCCUGUUCAUUUUCUUCAAACUUAAUGGCAACUUAAUGCUCUAUUCUUUAUGCACUUGUUCAUGCUGUACCUUCUCUUGAUCAUGACUUGUGCGUAAGUCAGGUAACCUGGCCUAUCUGGUUUAUUACCUAGUGUACCUUCAGUAGGUCCUCAAGAAAUGCUUUUUGAAUGACAUCUUUUACAUCUUUUGUGCAUAUAUAUGUAGCUCUUAAUGCAAUUUCUCAUUCAGAUUAAUUCUUUGGUCAAAUUACUAGAGACAGAAAGAACACAAUUGUUUAAUAGGUGAAGGGUGUCAAUAGGGGAGGAGAAAAAAGUUCUGCAGGUGGAUGGUGGUGAUGGUGGCCCAACAAUGUGAAUGUAGUUGAUGCUUCUGAACUGUACAUUUUAAAGUGGUUACAAUGGUAAAUUUUAUAAUAUAUGUCUUUUACCACAGUAAAAAUAAAUGAAUACUUUGACUUGGAAUUCUUGGGCUAAGAGGGCAGAUGGUUCCCCUCCCAUGUCCUCACGCUUCUGCCUGUUCACCUGCGUCCUGGCCGGGCCACUUCCUUGUGGGACAUCCUUCUUCUCCAAGGAAGAGAUGCUUGAAGGAUGACGACACUCAAAGGCUGCCAUCAUCCGAGGGCAUAGCCCCAGGCAGCAGCCCCUCUGAUCACCUCAUCCAGGACUCAGCUGCCUUCACGUGCCCACACUCUUCCUACAGACAUUCUUAAUUUGCUAAUUCUAUUAUUUACAUAUUUUUGUGGGGGAGGAGGUCUUUGUGUUGUGUAGCUUUUGAUCUAGACCAGGGGUCCCCAACUUCUGAGAUCUAAUGCUUGAUGAUCUGCGAUGGAGCUGAUGUAAUAAUGAUAGAAAUAAAGUGCACAUAAUAAUACAAA
Molecule: long non-coding RNA, 3814 nt
Organism: Bos taurus (domestic cattle)
Lineage: Eukaryota; Metazoa; Chordata; Mammalia; Artiodactyla; Bovidae
Source: Ensembl